RNAcentral lists this ribosomal RNA (649 nucleotides) under Enterococcus faecium. RNAcentral's name for it is "partial 23S ribosomal RNA". It matches the Rfam family "Bacterial large subunit ribosomal RNA", at positions 579 to 1229 of the family's 2925-position model. The record is from RNAcentral. Lineage: Bacteria; Bacillati; Bacillota; Bacilli; Lactobacillales; Enterococcaceae.
GCCCGUUAAUGGGUGAUGGCGUGCCUUUUGUAGAAUGAACCGGCGAGUUACGAUUGCAUGCGAGGUUAAGUUGAAGAGACGGAGCCGCAGCGAAAGCGAGUCUGAAUAGGGCGUUUGAGUAUGUAGUCGUAGACCCGAAACCAUGUGAUCUACCCAUGUCCAGGUUGAAGGUGCGGUAAAACGCACUGGAGGACCGAACCCACGUACGUUGAAAAGUGCGGGGAUGAGGUGUGGGUAGCGGAGAAAUUCCAAACGAACUUGGAGAUAGCUGGUUCUCUCCGAAAUAGCUUUAGGGCUAGCCUCGGAAUUGAGAAUGAUGGAGGUAGAGCACUGUUUGGACUAGGGGCCCAUCUCGGGUUACCGAAUUCAGAUAAACUCCGAAUGCCAUUCAUUCAUAUCCGGGAGUCAGACUGUGAGUGAUAAGAUCCAUAGUCGAAAGGGAAACAGCCCAGACCACCAGCUAAGGUCCCAAAAUAUAUGUUAAGUGGAAAAGGAUGUGGGGUUGCACAGACAACUAGGAUGUUGGCUUAGAAGCAGCCACCAUUUAAAGAGUGCGUAAUAGCUCACUAGUCGAGUGACCCUGCGCCGAAAAUGUACCGGGGCUAAACAUAUUACCGAAGCUGUGGAGUACACCUUUAGGUGUAUUGGU